RNAcentral lists this transfer RNA (77 nucleotides) under Pseudomonadota bacterium. RNAcentral's name for it is "Proteobacteria bacterium (cold seep metagenome) tRNA-Arg". It matches the Rfam family "tRNA". Rfam says of the family: Transfer RNA (tRNA) molecules are approximately 80 nucleotides in length. Their secondary structure includes four short double-helical elements and three loops (D, anti-codon, and T loops). The record is from RNAcentral. Lineage: Bacteria; Pseudomonadati; Pseudomonadota.
GCCCCCGUAGCUCAGGUGGAUAGAGCGCCGGUUUCCUAAACCGUAGGUCGUAUGUUCGAGUCAUACCGGGGGCACCA